Molecule: non-coding RNA, 678 nt
Organism: Plasmodium gallinaceum
Lineage: Eukaryota; Apicomplexa; Aconoidasida; Haemosporida; Plasmodiidae
Source: RefSeq, a predicted model, not a curated record
AAAAAAAAAGUGAUCAUGGAAAUCCUAAACAAGCAUGGGAAGAGAUUCUCACCCUGAACCCAUUUAAUAGCUGAUUGUCUGCUCAUUAGUACCUGGAUAAUUACGAUAAUAAAAAAAUUAGGGGAAAAAAGACAAUAGCGUAUGGUUUGCUUCUCUAAUUUUUUUGUAGUAAUUAGACAUGAACGUGAGGUCGUAUAUUGGAUUGGAGCGGAAGUUAGCAUCAGCGCUAUCAAUUUAAGCUCAUUACCUUUCUGUAUAUGUAAAAAAAAAUAUAGGAAGUUUGUAUUCUUUUUGUAUUUUUUUUUACAAAUACAGCAGAAAGAUCCAUAUACUUCAAUCAGUCUACCUAAUGUUGCGCUAUUUUAUCUCUCAAGUCGGCCAGGAGAUAGAGGUGUAUCUUUUUCAUAAAUUUUUCAAAUGUUUUUCUCUAAAUUAUAUAUUCAUGUAUAACAAUGUAUGAGUAAAUUUAAAGGAAAACAUAUGAAAAAUUGAAUGAAAGGGAACACACACGGAGAAUUAAUACAUUACGCAUAAGUAAUGUAUUUUUUCGAAGUAAGAAAGAAAACUAUAAUUUAUAUAUUACAGUUUUCUUUUUAAGAUGGCUGGGAUCUAUCGACAUUUUUUAUAAAAGUUAUAUUAAAAAGUAACUGUUAAUAAAAAAUGUGUUAGUUUCAUGCU